AGCAGCCGCGGUAAUUCCAGCUCCAAUAGCGUAUAUUAAAGUUGUUGCAGUUAAAAAGCUCGUAGUUGAAUUUCGGGAUUAGUACGUUGGUCGUGCCUUCGGUACGUACUGGUGUUACUGAUUCCUACCUUCUGACGAACCAUCAUGUCAUUAAUUUGGUGUGGUGGGGAAUCAGGACUGUUACUUUGAAAAAAUUAGAGUGUUUAAAGCAGGCUCGCGCUUGAAUACAUUAGCAUAGAAUAAUGAAAUAGGACGUUGACCCUAUUUUGUUGGUUUCUAGGAUUGACGUAAUGAUUAAUAGGGAUAGUUGGGGGCAUUAGUAUUCAAUUGUCAGAGGUGAAAUUCUUGGAUUUAUUGAAGACUAACUACUGCGAAAGCAUUUGCCAAGGAUGUUUUCAUUAAUCAAGAACGAAAGUUAGGGGAUCGAAGACGAUCAGAUACCGUCGUAGUCUUAACCAUAAACUAUGCCGACUAGGGAUCGGAUGAUGUUAUUUUUAAUGACUCAUUCGGCGCCUUACG
RNAcentral lists this ribosomal RNA (519 nucleotides) under uncultured Glomus. RNAcentral describes it as "SSU rRNA". It matches the Rfam family "Eukaryotic small subunit ribosomal RNA", at positions 569 to 1092 of the family's 1831-position model. The record is from RNAcentral. Lineage: Eukaryota; Fungi; Glomeromycota; Glomeromycetes; Glomerales; Glomeraceae.